This is a long non-coding RNA of Vespa velutina, 2268 nucleotides long. RefSeq lists it as uncharacterized. The transcript is spliced from 3 exons. Lineage: Eukaryota; Metazoa; Arthropoda; Insecta; Hymenoptera; Vespidae. The record is from RefSeq and is a predicted model, not a curated record.
GUUUAUGUAAACAUGACCACUAGAUAGCACCUUUGUAUUUUUGCUAAAUUUAAUAAUGUCAAUUCUUAUUAUUGAAUAACUCCAUGGAUAUAUAGUAACGAACGUUGUGGUUUUGAUUUUCAUUACUAGAUGACGCCAUGAUUUAACGUCGACUUAUUAAUUCUGGUUAUAAGAUAGCUUUAUGCGAUACUAGUAAUGUUCUUUUUUGAUAAACUGUAUUACUAUUCUACAUUUCUAUUCCCAUACUUCAUUCAUUAUCUUUUGCUCGAAGCAUGUGUGACUUCAGUGACAAGAUAGAAGAAUAUGAACUAUAGGUACAAAUGGAGAAUACUGCAUCACCAUGCACUUAUGCAUCUAUCGAUGUAUAAGACUGCUUAAGCGAUGAAAAAACUAUAAAUGAGUUUCUUAUUUCUGUUGAUAUUUUCAUUUGUGGUGAGCAAUACUGAUCUUACUCUGCAAUUCUUAAUCGGAAAAAGAUAAUUUUAAUAAAACUAUGUAAAGUUUAAAAAAAUGUAUAGACUUAAUUAUUAUAAGUUAUUGUUAUAUAACUAUUAGUAACUAGUAGAGUUCAGUAUAGGAUUACAUAUAUCUUCAAUGAAUAUUAAAUAAUCGAAAGAAUCGUAUCGUAAAACCUACACUAUUCAAGUAUGAUAUGAAAAUCAGUAAUGGGUACAAGUUUCUUUUUUCAUCGUAAAUUUCAAGGGGCGCCACUUCACAAAAUUUAUUUUUCACGAGAACACCAAUAAUGAAUUCAAGUAUAAUUCUUGACCGAUUUUGAUAAAUAAGAUUUCAUUUUAAAGAUGAAAGUAUAUAUAAACCUGGAGAUGAUUCUUUCGAAUUUUUGACAAAACAUUAUUUUUAUAUAUAUGAAUUAUUCUAGAAAAAACAUUAUUUUUUCUCACCAUAUUUUUUCAAAGAAAAUAAAAUUUCAAAAAAUUCGAGUUAUAUUCUUCUUUAAGAAUAGACUCAUAUCUAGUCUCAUUGUUGAUGUACAAAUAUAAAACUAGGGAUAAUGAACAGUUUUAAUGUUUACCGCAAAAUGGUGAACUAUUGCGAAUUCAUAUACAUAUCUAUAUGUACACUCCUGCAUAAAAUAAUAGUACUUAUGUGCUACUUUUAACUUAGAAUUUCUAAAUGUAGAAAAUAGCACAUAAAUGUCAUGAUAUUGGAAGAAAAAAUCUCAUUGACUUUCUAAGUAAACAGAAAAAAAGAGAUAAAUGCUGAAGCAUGAUUCCUGCCAUUCAUCGAACAAAAGUUGUAGAAACAUUUUUUAAAAGAAAGAAUGUAUCAGUUACGUCAUGGCCUGCAUGGUUCCCAGAUUUGAAUAUAUAAUUGUUGAGAACGAAAAUUGUUGGAAAGAACUCAUGUGUGCCAUAUACAAGAAUGGAAGGCAGUACAAUAAUGUUCAAGAAUUAAAAGAAUCGAUUAUCGUAGAAUGGAAUAAGUUGUCUCAGAAUACCAUCAAAAAGUUCGAGAAAUCUUUACCAAACCGUAUGAUUGAAAUUAUAGAGAACAAAGGCGGUUACACACAUUAUUAAUUUCAUAUUAAUUAAGAAGAAACUUUUCUUUUUGUUAUAAAUAUACAUAUAAAUUUUUUUAAUGUGCUAUAAUUUCGUAAAACGUAAAAUUUUUGUUUUCUUUACAUAUAAUAAAUGUUAAAGAGAACGACCUUGUCUUAAACAGAUUCUUUCUUCUUGCAUCUUGACAUUUAUGCACUAUUUAAUAUAUUUAUAAAUUCUAAGUUGUCUUUGAAAAAUUAAAGAUAACGCACGUGCUAUCAUUUUGUCCAAGAGUAUAUAUAGAUGACACUAAUAAUUACAAUAAAUCUUUGGAAUAUUUUUCUUAUAAUAAUUUUUAAGUAUUUCUCAUGCACUUUUACAAUAUUAUAUAUUUUUAAACAUAUUAUAAAAUAUUUAAAAUAUUAUGAUUAUUUUUGCUGAAAAGUUAUACAAAUAAUACCUUGUUUAAGUGAUACUUUGAGUCUCAUUGAUUAUAAGUGAUGCUUUUAUAAUUAAUAAUUAAAUUUUAAUGUUAACUUUCUUUUCUAUAAAAAUAGUAUACAGACAAAACCUAUUAGUGCUUAUUAUUAAUGAUUGUAAAAUUCCCUUUAAUCUUUAUUUUGUAAAUGAUACAAUAUCAUUUAAUAAAAGACGUUAUAUACUUAUAUUUUAUUUAAUAUGUUAUUAUAAAUGCAUUUUUCAUUGCAAACCAAGUUGUUGAAUUAACUAGAAUAAUUAUAUCUUUUAUAAGUACAAUAAACCCGGCAUC